Molecule: long non-coding RNA, 1134 nt
Filed under: Brassica rapa (field mustard)
Lineage: Eukaryota; Viridiplantae; Streptophyta; Magnoliopsida; Brassicales; Brassicaceae
Description: long non-coding RNA (BRAP_LNC002860)
Source: RNAcentral
UUGAUUCCAAACAGAAUAUAUUUUUAUUCAUUUAUUAUUUUGACGUUAAAAAAUAUUUCUUUAGUUUUAUUUGUAUAUUGAUUUUUUAAUAAUUUAGUUUCUUUUUAAGUAAUUUGAAAAUUAUCAGGAAUAUAAUAUAUUUAAAAUUAUUUAUUUAAAUAUAUCCAAAUAUGAUGUCUCAUUUUUAUGUGUGUUUGCGUUGAGCAUAUUUAAUUUGUAGUUUGUAUAGUUAAUAACACCUUGUUGCGUGCCGUUAUAUGGUUUUAAUAAAUGUGUUGUCAUUUCAUUUUUAUUAUUACUAACGUGAUUUUUUAGUGAUCAGUGAUAAUGUAUGUUUAGCGUUAGGAUUUAUUUUUUUAUGGUAUAUUUUCUAACUCUUCAUGCUGACACUUUUUUAGAAUCAUUUUAAUUAGAUAGUAGGUUUAAAGAUGCAAAUAAAACUAUGUAUGUUGCAAAAUUUAGACUUUUUAGUGUAACUGAGCACUAUCAAUUAUAGAAACUAUAUUAUGAUUUUAAUUUACUAAAUCUUUCUUUCUGUGUAUAUUUUUUUUGUUUUAUUUUGUAUUUUACAAUUUUAUUGCCAUAUUCUUUGAUUGUAGAGAAUUUCUAUUUCUAAUUUUUGUUUCAUAUACCUUAAAAGUCUUUGGUUGAUUUUUGUUUGUUUUCUUUCUCCAAUUACAAUGUACAGUUCGACCGUUUUUUUUUUUUUUUGGAAUCAAACUACUAAUAUAAUCAGAUAGAAAAACUUAAACUCCAAGAAUGUAGUGAGUAUUUGUGCUAAAGAAAACUGAUUUAGCUACUAAUAUAGUGCGAUAUUAUAAUAUUAGAAGGUAUGAAAACUCUUCUCUGUUGUCCUAAUUAAGUUGUUGUCAAUUAAUUCUAUAUUUGUGAUAACUGGAAAUACAUCUUUAUGUCUUUCUUACAUCAUUCUUAAUUAGUUUAUGGUUCAACCAUUUCUAAUAUACUCAGAGUAACAUAAUAUUAGAUGUUGAUUAUCUCCUUCCAAUUAGUAAUGCAUAGAAUGAGAGAAAUUCAAGGUAAGACCAUUUUAAAAUUUUGUCAUCAUAUCUAUAUAGAGUUAGUUUAUAUAUUGCUUUAUCUGUUUCAAAAUGUAAUCAGUUUAAUUAAAUUCUG